AAGUAAAACAAAAUUUAUGUUAUUUGGAGGUAGUAAAAGUAAUAUUAAAGUAAAAUUGAAUUUAAAUAAUGUUGAAAUUGAAAGAGUAUAUGAGACAAAAUUUUUAGGAGUAAUUAUUGAUGAUAAACUUUGUUGGAAGCCCCACAUAGAACAUAUGAAACGAAAAUUAUCCAAGUCGAUUUCUAUUCUUUAUAAAACAAGAGAUUCUUUGAAUAAGAACUGCCUUUAUUUAUUGUAUACUUCCCUUUGUUUGCCUUAUAUGACCUACUGUGCAGAAAUUUGGGGGAACACAUACAAAACAUAUUUGGAUUCAGUAUUUAAAUUGCAAAAAAGAGCUAUUAGAAUAAUAAAUAAAGUUGGAUAUAGGGAGUCCACCAACCAGUUUUUUGUAGGAUCAUCUAUGUUAAAAUUCAUGGACAUUAUAUAUUCUAAAACUUUAGAAAUGAUAUAUCGUGUGAUGAAAAAGAAUGUUCCAAUGUGUAUUUUAAGGAUGUUUCAACUAAGAGAUGGAAAAUAUGAUUUAAGGGGGUCUUAUAAGUUUGAAAUGCCUAAAGUGAGAACCAAUGUUAAGUAUAGAUGUGUGUCAGUUUUGGGAGUGAAAUUAUGGAACGGACUUAAUGAUGAACUGAAGAUGUGUUUUUCUUUGUCAUUCUUCAGGAAGCUUUUAAAAAUUAGUAUUAUACAAGGUUAUAGAAAUUUGGUUUGUUAACAUUUUUUUGUGUUGAUUUAAUUUCUUGAUUUAUCAUUGAUUUCUUUUCAAACUGUUAUACAACUUAUUUAUCAAUGUUAUUUAUCUUCUUGGUUAAGGAUUUGAUUAUUUCUAUAGGGGUAAGGGAUCGGAUAAGUAUAAGCCAUAAGGCUUCAGCCUAUUCCUUUUUCGGUUUCUGUUUGAGUACUUUUAUGUAAAAUUAUAAUCUGUUGUUGUUGACUGAAAUAAAUUUCAAUUCAUUCAUUCAUUCAUUCAUUCAUCACUUCAUCUGUCAUUGUACUGAAUUUGAGCAACCCUGAACUUAAUGCAGAUUACUAUUAACAACUGGUUAAAUUAAUGGUCUGGAGCACCGGCUGUUGUUGAUCAGGGCAAUCUAAAGAAUCUGCGGGGGGGUUUGGGGGUUUUUUUGUUUUUUGUUUUUUUGUUGGUUUUUUUUUUUUGCUUUUUGUGGAUCUCUCCACCUAUUUGCACUGAUUUUGCCUGCUCCUGCUUGUUGUUUUUCUAACCAUUUCUCAUCAGGUGUUAAUUUUGCUUGUUUAUUCUCCGUUUUCAAAGAUUUUGCUGGGCCGUCGCUGGCACGCUUGACUUUAGAGUGAUUUACUGAUACGGCCUUCAACUUCACCCUAACGGUGAAGCGGUAUCAGUUUUAUGAGAUGAAACUCAACCGUUCUCCUUUGUCACCAGCACUUGAGCCUCAGCAAAGAAAACAAAAAUGGAAGUAGUUCAGCAGCGUACUGUGCUGUAAAAUCAACUUACUUCCAGACACAUACACACACAUAGACAUUUGUGCGCUAAUUUGUCACAAAGUAAUUUCGGCUACCUCUAAAACCCAAGUCUAAUUCAGUUCCUUUUGGUGAACCCAACCUAUUUUAAUUUCUCUGUCUCAACGUGUUUUCAUUUGCCUAAACGUAUUUUGGGGUGGCUGUAGCUCAGGUGGCAGAGCAGGUCAGCCACUAAUCAGAAGGUCGGUGGUUCGAUCCCAGGCUGCAUCCUGGCUGCAUGCCAAAUAUCCUUGGGCAAGAUACUAACCCCGUGUUUGCC
Molecule: long non-coding RNA, 1750 nt
Organism: Astatotilapia calliptera (eastern happy)
Lineage: Eukaryota; Metazoa; Chordata; Actinopteri; Cichliformes; Cichlidae
Source: Ensembl